This is a long non-coding RNA of Octopus sinensis (East Asian common octopus), 1055 nucleotides long. RefSeq lists it as uncharacterized. The transcript has 2 exons. The record is from RefSeq and is a predicted model, not a curated record. Lineage: Eukaryota; Metazoa; Mollusca; Cephalopoda; Octopoda; Octopodidae.
CUUUGAUGGCAUGCACUGCUCUCUCACUCAAUAAUAAUAAUAAUAAUAAUAAUAAUGAUAAUGAUAAUAAUAAUAAUAAAAAAGUAUGUGACUUCUUUCGUUUUUGUUGGCAUUUGAAACUUUUUCUUUUUUGGAAAAGGAACAAACUUAUUGCUCUCAAGACAAAAUUGAAAAUGUGCUCGCAGUUUUGACUGAUCAAAUAAAAAACUUCCCUGGAGCGUUUCCAAUGACCAGUUCAAAUGCAUACGCCAGGGCAAAAGGGCUACAAUCAUAUGUGCCAACUUGGGGAUUAAUUAUAGGAACUUGUUGAAUUGUAGUAAUAAUGUUUGUUUGUGGUGAGUACAACGUUGAUUUUGUGCCAUUAGUUUCUGCGAUACUGGCACGUUCAAACUGCCAUUAAUAUAAACAUCUCCGAUAAAAUUGGUCGACAAAACAAAAUGAUUGUUCCUGGUGUGAUGAAUGAACAGUGUACAGUGUGCAUUGUACGUUAGAAAUUCCAUGUGAGAAAAAAAAAUGGUUGUAUUGGAGUUUCAGGAAAAUUUUCUGUUACGAUUUUCAACCUGGCGUCAAUAAAUCCGUUUAUCACAUAACACUUGUCCUGAAAGUAAAAACGACUUCUCAUAUUUCAAAGCAAAUGUUCUUGACCAAAAUGUUCCCUUGCCCACUGGGCUCAGGGGAAUGGGAACUCAGCCUUUUCAGUUUCUUUUCUUUUUUUUUUUGUCUUCAGAACCGAAAUUUCCUUUUUUUCAAAGUUCAUCAAACAGUUACACAAAAAGUUCAAAUGAUUUCUAGAAGAACAUACCUGUUCAAGGACACUCGAAAUCACCUUAAUGUCUGCACCAAGUAAUAUUAAUUUUGAACGAUUCCAUUAUGUUAAAUGAAUUUCUCUUACCGAUCAGUUUAAACUUUUGAAGCAAUAAAUCAUCAGGCUGUGAUGCUCACAUUGGUAUAUUUCCUGUAAGACCAUCUGGUAUAACGUUUUCUAGUUUGCAUGUUUCCAGAAAUGGUAAAUGGCUUUGGAUUUUAGCACAAAAAAGCUGAAGUUUCUUAACUGA